CUUCAAUGUGGUUUCUUUUGACCUACACUGUUCAAGGAUUGCCACAGUUUCUGCAGGUCACGUGAUAAAUGUCAGAGAACAGGUAACAUAUCAGCGCGUCACGAGAUGCCACGUAACAACAUUUUGGAGGUGGAAAUAUUUGAUGUCUAGGGGGUUGAUUUUAUGGGUCCUUUUCCAUCAUCUUAUAACAAUCGGUACAUCCUAGUAGCAGUGGACUAUGUCUCUGAAUGGGUAGAAGUUAAAGCAUUGCCUACAAAUGACGCAAGGGUGGUGGUGGACUUCAUAAAGAAACACAUCUUUAACCUCUAUGGAUCACCUAGGGCCAUUAUAAGUGAUAGAGGAACUGACUUCCGUAAUCGGUUAUUCCAGGCAGUGCUGCAUAAGUACGGGGUACAACAUCGAAUUGCCACCCUUUACCACUCUCAGACAAGUGGACAGGUGGAAACCUCGAAUAGACAAUUAAAAAGAAUUCUGGAGCUCACUGUGAAUGCAUCUCGCAAGGAUUGAUAAAAAAAUUAGACGAUGCUCUAUAGGCAUAUCACACUGCUUACAAGACACUUAUUGGGAUGUCCCCAUAUUGACUAGUCUUUGGAAAAGCAUGCCACCUACCAAUGGAGUUUGAACAUAGAGCAUACUGGACAUUAAAGUAGUUAAACAUGGACCUCGAAAAGGCUGAAGAAAUAAGAAUAUUACAGCUACAUGAAUUGGAAGAAUUCAAAAGAGAAGCAUAUGAGAAUGCAGUCAUCUAUAAGGAAAGGGCGAAGCAGUGGCAUGACAAGAACAUCAGGCAAAGAAUUUUUAGAGUGGGAGAUCAAGUGUUUUUAUACAAUUCCAGACUUAAACUGUUUCCAGGAAAGUUAAAAUUUAGAUGGUCCGGCCCUUUUACGUUCUUUCAGGUGUUUCCCUACGGCACAGUUGAAUUACACCAUCCAACAAAAGGAAACUCCAAAGUAAAUGAUCAACGUAUCAAGCACUACGUGGAAGAUUUUUUCACCACUAGAGAGAGCAUUGACCUAGCCGUACCAUAAUAACAAUGGUAUAAAGUCUAGCUAAUGACUUUAAAGAAACGCUUAUUGGGAGAUAGCCUAAUUUUCAAAUUUUUUUUAUUUUACUUUUUAUAUCGCAUAGCAUAUUCUUUUGUUUUAUUUACUAGGUUGCAUUAGAUUUAGGCAUGUUUCAAUUUUUAGGAGUCAUCACUCAUAUCCCUUCUGCCCUCAGGCCUUUGAAUUUAUUUUUGGUUAUUUUGAUUGUUUGAGCUAAGUAACCCUUGUUCCUUGUAUUUAAUUUGACAAAUUUGAUUUUUCAGGAACAUGACGUCGUGAAACACUCAAACCAACAUAGAUACAAGGGAAAGCAUGAUAAAUAAUAUUAUCUAGCCGUCACACAUAGUGCCUCACACAUUCAAUAGAAAAUUUUGGGGAGUACCUUCUUCCUAUUCUUCCCUACCCCUUUAUGUGCUUAUUUAUGUUUUAUGACAUUGAGGACAACGUCAGUUUUAAAUUUGGG
Molecule: long non-coding RNA, 1506 nt
Filed under: Olea europaea subsp. europaea
Lineage: Eukaryota; Viridiplantae; Streptophyta; Magnoliopsida; Lamiales; Oleaceae
Source: RNAcentral